UCCACGCCGUAAACGAUGAUCACUAGUUGUUGGCGAUAAAAUGUCAGUGACUGAGCGAAAGCAUUAAGUGAUCCACCUGGGGAGUACGUUCGCAAGAAUGAAACUCAAAGGAAUUGACGGGGGCCCGCACAAGCGGAGGAACAUGUGGUUUAAUUCGAUGAUACGCGAGGAACCUUACCCGGGCUUAAAUGCAGACUGACAGGUUGGGAAACCGACUUUUCUUCGGACAGUCUACAAGGUGCUGCAUGGUUGUCGUCAGCUCGUGCCGUGAGGUGUCGGGUUAAGUCCCAUAACGAGCGCAACCCCUAUCAUUAGUUGCCAACAGGUCAAGCUGGGGACUCUAAUGAGACUGCCAUCGUAAGAUGCGAGGAAG
This 373-nucleotide ribosomal RNA is filed under the name uncultured bacterium. RNAcentral describes it as "bacterial SSU rRNA". It matches the Rfam family "Bacterial small subunit ribosomal RNA", at positions 794 to 1172 of the family's 1533-position model. The record is from RNAcentral.